GUCAGUGACAACCUUGUUGACCUGUUGUGUGUGUUGGUGGGGAGAGAGUGUAGCUACAAAAGACCAAAAAAAGGCCAAACAAAGAAACAAUCCAGACAUUAGCAAUCUUGCCUGUCUAUUCACAAUGGCCUUCACACCCAUGUUAACUGUUCCAUAGUGCUGUGCUCCAUCUUAGGGGCUUGUCCAUCACCUCUCUUCCAGUGUAUAUUUAAAAAUUCAGUUUUUUCUUACCAUUGGUAAAUUCUUUUUAUUGUUCAUAUCACCAGCCUUCCAAAUGCUGUCUUGUAUGUCACAUAGAGAGAAGGCACACUUAGAUUGUUAGAUAACUGGAGACUCACUCUGACUCAUGACCAGGACAGCCUGAAGGUUUUCUUAGGCAUGAAAAUGAGCCAAGAAGCUAUCUCAUGAGCAGAUAAAAAUUAGCCCAGGAAGAAAGGUCAUUAUAUUUUUCCAAAAGAAGUUGGGCAGUCCCAAGGCAGCUGAGUGUGUCUGCUGGACUCACAUCAAUGUUCCAGGGGAGACUGAAGACAGGGUUUCUCUGUAGCCCUGGCUAUUGUGGAACUGGCUCUGCCUCUGGAGUGCUGGGAUUAAAGCACACCUUGGCUACUGCUAAGUGAUGGUGGAAGCUGAGGUGACCAGAAAGUUCCAGUUCCCAUUGAGCACCUCCACAAAUGCCUCUGCAACACUGUUGUGUCAUUACGGGGGAGUACCUAUCUGUUAUCUGUUCUUCUUGAAUUGUGACCCUAACUAAGCAUGCUCAGAUGCUUGAGUUGAACAUGCACUGGUUUGGGCCCUUCCCAAAUGCCCCCCCCAUAUCAAUAUGUUUAGGCCUCUAACAAUUCUUCACCCUUCCUUUGUUUGAGGCGAGCACUAUGCUCUCCUGCCUGUAGGUGAUAAACAUCCUUCACGGUUGUGUCCUGACUGUGAUUUUAAGUCUCGCACUUGAAGCUGCUCACACAGCCACAGCUGGGAUGCUGGUGCUAAGCUUGCUUCUUCGGUUUUCUCCAUUUUACUCAGUCCGGGACCCCAGACCAUGGAUGGUGCAACUGACUUUCAGUGCAAGUCUUCCUCACUCAGCUCAACACCCUCCUAAGACACAUCCAGAGGUGUGAUUCCAUAUCUCAGGUCACACUCUAUCACUGAGGAAAGUCAGGGCAGGACCCUGGAGACAGGAACUGAAGUAGAGGCCAUGGGAGAACGCUGCUUGCUGGCUUGCUUCUCAUGCCUUGUUCAGCCUACCUUCUGAUCGAUAUACCUCAAGACCGUCCCCCAUGGGCUGGGCCCCUUCACAUCAACCUGGAUGAAGGCAUUUUUCGCAACUGGGUCUCCCUUUUGCCAAAUGACUAAAGCAUUGAUUGGUCAAGUUGACAAGAUAACCAACACAUGAAGAAGAGAAAUGGGCCUAAUAAAAAAUUUGAAUCCCUG
This 1425-nucleotide long non-coding RNA is filed under the name Cricetulus griseus (Chinese hamster). RNAcentral describes it as "lncRNA (ENSCGRG00015035494.1)". Lineage: Eukaryota; Metazoa; Chordata; Mammalia; Rodentia; Cricetidae. The record is from RNAcentral.